Spinacia oleracea (spinach) is the source of this 1458-nucleotide long non-coding RNA. RefSeq lists it as uncharacterized. The transcript has 4 exons. The record is from RefSeq and is a predicted model, not a curated record. NCBI's taxonomy places the organism in Eukaryota, Viridiplantae, Streptophyta, Magnoliopsida, Caryophyllales, Amaranthaceae.
UAUUUACGAAUUGACAUACACGACAUUCCCAGUUCCAGACUUGCACUCCUUCCCACCCCUUUCUUCCUUCUAUCUCCCACUACUUUCGGUUGGUUACACACUUACACCUUCCUUCUCAUUCUCUCCACAAUCUCAAUUACUCAAUCAAAUUCAUCAAACAAAAAAGAAAAUGUCUCUCUCGAAAACUGCAUCUGCAUCUGAUGCUUCCGUUCACUCCACUCUCUCUUCCAGAUUUGUUCGGGCCUAUCUACCCAGAUUUCAGAUAGAUCGAUACCGAUGGAAGCAGCUUAUCAAAUCCAAGGUUGAAUUUGGCUAAAUUGAAGGAUUUCCUUCAAUCUAAAACUAGGGUUUCUUAAUUGGGCUUCUUCUCUGUCGACUUCUACUUCUUAUCUAGGGCACAUAGUUCCCGACGGAUGUGUGGUUGAAUUAUCAAUUGUGACUAUCCAAGUGCUUAACGGUUGUGGAUCAAAGGGAAAUUAGCACUAACAAUAAAAUCUAUGCUGACUAGUUUGGGGAUUUCAUAUGAUUGUAGGUGAUAGAUACACCAAGUAGCUUUUUGAGCAAAGAAGAAUUCAAGAAUACUAUCUAAUGUUUGACACUGAGUUUUUGUUCAUGAGCUGGGUAUAAGAACGGGGGAGUUAGAUGCUGAAGGUCUUGAGCUGCUUCAGCAACGUCGUCGUUUCGAAGAGCCUUAUGAGACGGUUGUGAGAUUAAUUCCAAUAAUAUCAGAUGUUUAUCAAGUGAUUAUAUGAGAUUAAAAGGGUUGGGAGAAGAAACUAUUGUUUAUGAAGCCUUUGAUAAAGGGAAGAAACCUUGGAUUGAUCAAUUGAAUCUUAGAAUAGCACCCACUAAACUUCAUUUGUAGCUAGGUACAAGGGUGAUGCUACUAAAGAACUUAAGUCUGAAGGGCAGAUUGGUGAAUGGUACUACUGGUACAAUUACAGGUUUUAAAAAGUCACGUAAGAGCGAUGUUGCGAAGAUAUGUGAACAUAAACUUUUGCCAUUUUGUAAUUUUAGUGUGUUAAAUUUAAGUUAAUAGAAUUAUACUUCCUCCGUCUUUUAAUACUCGCAACGUUUGUUAGUUUCACGCAUGCCAAUGCACAACUUUGAUCAUUUAUAUCUUAAAUUCUCUUUAUGCAAAAAUUAUAAAAAGUUAAUAUUUUGAAAAUACACGUUGAGACGAAUCUAACAAGAUCUCACAUGACUAUGUUUUAUCUUAUAUAAAAAGCACUAAGAAUAGUCAAAGUAGAUUAUAUGAAUAGUGGCAAAAGUCCAAACGUUGCGAGUAUUAAAAGACGGAGGAAGUAUAACAUUUAUAGUUCUUUGUUUUUUUCGAAGAUAAUAGAUUGUUGUAUAUUAUUUUUAAGUUAUGAGACAGUGAGACGCACAUUUGAUAUGAUAGAAAUGAAAUUAGACCGUAUAUAUCAUUUCAAUUGUUAAAUUAGCAUAAGCUUUAAA